UAAUACGGGGGGUGCGAGCGUUGUCCGGAAUCACUGGGCGUAAAGGGCGCGUAGGUGGCUUGGUAAGCGCGUGGUGAAAGCCCGGGGCUCAACCCCGGGUCUGCCAUGCGAACUACUAUGGCUUGAGCACUGUAGAGGCAGGUAGAAUUCCGGGUGUAGCGGUGGAAUGCGUAGAGAUCCGGAA
RNAcentral lists this ribosomal RNA (184 nucleotides) under uncultured bacterium. Its description in RNAcentral is "partial 16S ribosomal RNA". It matches the Rfam family "Bacterial small subunit ribosomal RNA", at positions 521 to 703 of the family's 1533-position model. The record is from RNAcentral.